AUUGAACGCUGGCGGAAUGCUUUACACAUGUAAGUCGAACGGCAGCACGGACUUCGGUCUGGUGGCGAGUGGCGAACGGGUGAGUAAUGUAUCGGAACGUGCCCAGUCGUGGGGGAUAACGUAGUGAAAAUUACGCUAAUACCGCAUACGAUCUAUGGAUGAAAGCGGGGGAUCGCAAUACCUCGCGCGAUUGGAGCGGCCGAUAUCAGAUUAGGUAGUUGGUGGGGUAAAGGCCCACCAAGCCAACGAUCUGUAGCUGGUCUGAGAGGACGACCAGCCAUACUGGAACUGAGACACGGUCCAGACUCCUACGGGAGGAAGCAGUGGGGAAUUUUGGACAAUGGGCGAAAGCCUGAUCCAGCCAUUCCGCGUGCAGGAUGAAGGCCCUCGGGUUGUAAACUGCUUUUGUACAGAACGAAAAGGUUUCCACUAAUACUAGGAGCUCAUGACGGUACUGUAAGAAUAAGCACCGGCUAACUACGUGCCAGCAGCCGCAGUAA
RNAcentral lists this ribosomal RNA (500 nucleotides) under uncultured bacterium. Its description in RNAcentral is "partial 16S ribosomal RNA". It matches the Rfam family "Bacterial small subunit ribosomal RNA", at positions 30 to 523 of the family's 1533-position model. The record is from RNAcentral.